This is a small nuclear RNA of Pristis pectinata (smalltooth sawfish), 104 nucleotides long. The record is from RefSeq and is a predicted model, not a curated record. Lineage: Eukaryota; Metazoa; Chordata; Chondrichthyes; Rhinopristiformes; Pristidae.
GGUGUUCACUUUGACAGCACAUACUAACAUUGGAAUGGAACAGUAGAAUGGCAUGGCCCCUGCGCAAGGCAGGCACGAAAAUCUGAGAAGUGUUCAAGAGAAAC